GCGGUGGGGUAGGGGUAGGUCGGGGGUAGGGGAAGUGUGGGAAGUCCGCCGCUGUGUCGGCGUUAGGGUAGUGGCGUCUGGGUGGUCCCUGAGACCCGUGCCUGCACUUAGGCCUAGCGUCCGGCCCACCUGUACCUAGCGCCUGUCCCUUAGGGGGGUGGAAGGAAGGCCGAAGCCUCCAAACGGGUGUUGAUUCACUGUCGGUGUAUGUCGCGAGCUAUUCGCUCUACAAUUCCACUGCGGUCCAAACUAUGUGCACAGUAGGUCUCCCGUGUGUUCCCUGUACGGCUCUGUCAGUCGUGGUGUCACGGGUUUGGGUCCUCGCCUAAUACGCGAUAUGCGUCUGUAUUUCAACUUUAACAUUCAACAUUACUUAAACAUUUUAAAAGAGAGAGAAAGAAGAAGAAACUUAAAACAUAAGAUAUGCAUUUUGUGCCUG
Molecule: non-coding RNA, 439 nt
Organism: Pelobates cultripes (western spadefoot toad)
Lineage: Eukaryota; Metazoa; Chordata; Amphibia; Anura; Pelobatidae
Source: the annotation of a GenBank genome assembly